GUUUCUAGGAUUCCCGUAGACCUAGC
This 26-nucleotide non-coding RNA is filed under the name Cricetulus griseus (Chinese hamster). Lineage: Eukaryota; Metazoa; Chordata; Mammalia; Rodentia; Cricetidae. The record is from RNAcentral.